GUGCCCACUUCGGCAGCACAUAUACUAAAACUGGAACGAUACAGAGAAGAGUCACAUGGCCCCUGAAAAAGGAUGACAUGCAAAUUCGUGGAGCGCUUCAUAGAAAA
This is a small nuclear RNA of Saimiri boliviensis boliviensis (Bolivian squirrel monkey), 107 nucleotides long. NCBI's taxonomy places the organism in Eukaryota, Metazoa, Chordata, Mammalia, Primates, Cebidae. The record is from Ensembl.